AAUUUUGGACAAUGGGGGCAACCCUGAUCCAGCCAUCCCGCGUGUGCGAUGAAGGCCUUCGGGUUGUAAAGCACUUUUGGCAGGGAAGAAAAGGCUCUGGUUAAUACCCGGAGCUGCUGACGGUACCUGCAGAAUAAGCACCGGCCAACUACGUGCCAGCAGCCGCGGUAAUACGUAGGGUGCAAGCGUUAAUCGGAAUUACUGGGAGUAAAGCGGGAGCAGGCGGUUUGGCAAGAAGGAUGUGAAAGCCCAGGGCUUAACCUUGGAACUGCAUUCUUAACUGCCAGGCUAGAGUAUGUCAGAGGGGGGGAGAAUUCCGCGUGUAGCAGUGAAAUGCGUAGAGAUGCGGAGGAAUACCGAUGGCGAAGGCAGCCCCCUGGGAUAAUACUGACGCUCAUGCACGAAAGCGUGGGGAGCAAAC
RNAcentral lists this ribosomal RNA (421 nucleotides) under uncultured bacterium. RNAcentral describes it as "partial 16S ribosomal RNA". It matches the Rfam family "Bacterial small subunit ribosomal RNA", at positions 360 to 773 of the family's 1533-position model. The record is from RNAcentral.